RNAcentral lists this ribosomal RNA (468 nucleotides) under uncultured bacterium. RNAcentral's name for it is "partial 16S ribosomal RNA". It matches the Rfam family "Bacterial small subunit ribosomal RNA", at positions 28 to 507 of the family's 1533-position model. The record is from RNAcentral.
GACGAACGCUGGCGGCGUGCUUAACACAUGCAAGUCGAACGGAAAGGCCCUGCCUUUGUGGGGUGCUCGAGUGGCGAACGGGUGAGUAACACGUGAGUAACCUGCCCUUGACUUUGGGAUAACUUCAGGAAACUGGGGCUAAUACCGGAUAGGAGCUCCUGCUGCAUGGUGGGGGUUGGAAAGUUUCGGCGGUUGGGGAUGGACUCGCGGCUUAUCAGCUUGUUGGUGGGGUAGUGGCUUACCAAGGCUUUGACGGGUAGCCGGCCUGAGAGGGUGACCGGCCCCAUUGGGACUGAGAUACGGCCCAGACUCCUACGGGAGGCAGCAGUGGGGAAUAUUGCACAAUGGGCGGAAGCCUGAUGCAGCAACGCCGCGUGCGGGAUGACGGCCUUCGGGUUGUAAACCGCUUUCGCCUGUGACGAAGCGUGAGUGACGGUAAUGGGUAAAGAAGCACCGGCUAACUACGUG